Long non-coding RNA from Passer domesticus (house sparrow), 1085 nucleotides. RefSeq lists it as uncharacterized. NCBI's taxonomy places the organism in Eukaryota, Metazoa, Chordata, Aves, Passeriformes, Passeridae. The record is from RefSeq and is a predicted model, not a curated record. The transcript is spliced from 3 exons.
UGAAGGCAUACUAUGGCAUUCUAUUUCUGACAAAGAAUAAGCUUCUCUUGUGUGCAGCCAUAAAAAGCUUAAUUACUUUCACAGGUACUGCAAUUUCCAGUGCACUAAGGACUGUCCAUUGAAAGUGCUUUUACUGCCUCUGUGUACUUGCCCUACAAACAAAGCCACAACAUGGAUACAGAAGGAGAAACACUUGGAAACACAAGCCAACACUUCCUAAGCAUCUCAGUCAUCCACUGGACUACACAAUUCCAAGCUUUUGACAGAAAUUAGAGAAAAGAAAGAUGUCCAGCAGAAAUUUGUGAGAGAACCAUAAACAGACUUUACAGGAAGGAAUGGAGAAAAAGUGCAACAAUUUUUUUUUACAAGUUUUUGGUUUCCCUGAAGAUAACACCUCCUAAUUUAAAAGGAACUGUGUUGUUUCUGGACCUAGUCCUCAUCAGAAAAGUGAGAAGAUUAUGAAGAUCACAGCUCAGAUCUAAAACCACUUUAGAGCAACUCCAGUAAGAAAUUAGAGAAAAGCAUGUAAUAUUAUGAUCAGAAUUAUAGAAGUGAUUUUUUAAUGUUCAUGAACUGGUGAAAAAUACCUUCCCACUCAGCCACAGUUGCAACAUAGAGCAUUACUGCAAAAUUAGCACCAAUCUUCACUGGACCGUUCAGUGUCACCAAGUAUUCAUCAGAUAUGAAUUACACUCUGAACAAAUUGCCUGAAGGAACAGAUACAGGGAUUUUCAUGUUCUAAACGUGCUUUCCUAUUAGUAUCAAAAUAGUCCAUUGGAGGAUAUCUCAACCCCUGAAGACAUGCAAUGAACAGAAAUGCUACAAUACUCAACCAUUAUUCCAAAGUACAGUCUUUAAAAAUGAAAGAUAAUAUACAGUAGGCUUGACUCCCUAUUCCCUUAGAUUCCAUUAUAAUCACCCUUAUGAUGAGCCACACCUCAUUAUAAUAACAGCCAAAUUGCUUGGGUCCCAAGGGCAGACUAACAGUCAGGGUGGAUUGUACUUAUACUCAAAAUAACCAAGAAUAAUCAAGAUGAGCCUCUCAGUUUGACAAUGAAUGACCACUUUUGCAUAACUAAUGCUGU